RNAcentral lists this ribosomal RNA (380 nucleotides) under uncultured bacterium. RNAcentral describes it as "bacterial SSU rRNA". It matches the Rfam family "Bacterial small subunit ribosomal RNA", at positions 30 to 399 of the family's 1533-position model. The record is from RNAcentral.
AUUGAACGCUGGCGGCAUGCCUUACACAUGCAAGUCGAACGGCAGCGGACCUUCGGUGCCGGCGAGUGGCGAACGGGUGAGUAAUAUAUCGGAACGUACCUUUCAGUGGGGGAGUAACGUAGCGAAAGUUACGCUAAUACCGCAUAUUCUGUGAGCAGGAAAGCAGGGGAGUCGCAAGACCUUGCGCUGAUUGAGCGGCCGAUAUCAGAUUAGCUAGUUGGUUGAGGUAAAGGACUCACCAAGGCGACGAUCUGUAGCGGGUCGUGAGAGGAUGAUCCGCCACACUGGAACUGAGACACGGUCCAGACUCCUACGGGAGGCAGCAGUGGGGAAGUUUUGGUACGAAUAGGGCGGCAAGACCUCGAUCCACGCCACUGCCG